This 253-nucleotide ribosomal RNA is filed under the name uncultured bacterium. RNAcentral's name for it is "partial 16S ribosomal RNA". It matches the Rfam family "Bacterial small subunit ribosomal RNA", at positions 524 to 776 of the family's 1533-position model. The record is from RNAcentral.
GACGAACCGUGCAAACGUUGUUCGGAAUCACUGGGCUUAAAGGGCGCGUAGGCUGUUCGCUAAGUCGUGGGUGAAAUCUUUCGGCUCAACCGGAAAAUUGCCUGCGAUACUGGCGAGCUCGAGGGUGGUAGGGGCGAUCGGAACUGCCAGUGGAGCGGUGAAAUGCGUUGAUAUUGGCAGGAACGCCGGUGGCGAAAGCGGAUCGCUGGAUCACUCCUGACGCUGAGGCGCGAAAGCUAGGGGAGCAAACGGG